Molecule: ribosomal RNA, 107 nt
Filed under: Numida meleagris (helmeted guineafowl)
Lineage: Eukaryota; Metazoa; Chordata; Aves; Galliformes; Numididae
Source: RNAcentral
CUAAACAGCCAUACCACCAUAGCAACACCCAAUUUCAUCUGAUCUUGCAAGCUAAGCAGGUUCAGGUUAUUAGUACAUGGAUACUCCUGGGAAUACUGGUUGCUGGA